AGCGCAGGCGGGAAGACAAGUUGGAAGUGAAAUCCAUGGGCUCAACCCAUGAACUGCUUUCAAAACUGUUUUUCUUGAGUAGUGCAGAGGUAGGCGGAAUUCCCGGUGUAGCGGUGGAAUGCGUAGAUAUCGGGAGGAACACCAGUGGCGAAGGCGGCCUACUGGGCACCAACUGACGCUGAGGCUCGAAAGUGUGGGUAGCAAAC
RNAcentral lists this ribosomal RNA (206 nucleotides) under uncultured bacterium. RNAcentral describes it as "partial 16S ribosomal RNA". It matches the Rfam family "Bacterial small subunit ribosomal RNA", at positions 568 to 773 of the family's 1533-position model. The record is from RNAcentral.